RNAcentral lists this ribosomal RNA (478 nucleotides) under uncultured bacterium. RNAcentral's name for it is "bacterial SSU rRNA". It matches the Rfam family "Bacterial small subunit ribosomal RNA", at positions 8 to 522 of the family's 1533-position model. The record is from RNAcentral.
AGAGUUUGAUCAUGGCUCAGGACGAACGCUGGCGGCGUGCCUAAUGCAUGCAAGUCGCACGCAGGGUGCUUGCACUCUGAGUGGCGCACGGCUGAGGAUCACGUGGGAACAUGCCUCCUUGUGGGGGACAACACCGCGAAAGCGGUGCUAAUCCCGCAUACGCUCGGCAACGAGGAAAGCUAUCACUAGCGCAGGGAGAGUGGCCCGCGGCCCAUCAGGUCGUCGGUGGGGUAAUGGCCUACCGAGCCUAUGACGGGUAGCUGGUCUGUGAGGACAGACAGCCAGACUGGGACUGAGACACGGCCCAGACUCCUACGGGAGGCAGCAGCAAGGAAUUUUCGUCAAUGGGCGCAAGCCUGAACGAGCAACGCCGCGUGGAGGAUGACGGCCUUCGGGUUGUAAACUCCUUUUGCGGGGGACGAUGACGACGGUACCCCGCGAAUAAGGCUCGGCUAACUCUGUGCCAGCAGCCGCGGUA